RNAcentral lists this signal recognition particle RNA (97 nucleotides) under Propionibacterium sp. oral taxon 192 str. F0372. RNAcentral's name for it is "Bacterial small signal recognition particle RNA". It matches the Rfam family "Bacterial small signal recognition particle RNA". From Rfam's summary of the family: The signal recognition particle (SRP) is a universally conserved ribonucleoprotein involved in the co-translational targeting of proteins to membranes. Archaeal SRP consists of a 7S RNA and homologues of the eukaryotic SRP19 and SRP54 proteins. The record is from Rfam by way of RNAcentral. Lineage: Bacteria; Bacillati; Actinomycetota; Actinomycetes; Propionibacteriales; Propionibacteriaceae.
GAAGGUUCCCCGUGCGGCGGCAUCUCGCCUAACUCCCCCAGGACCGGAAGGUAGCAAGGGUAAGUGAGCUCUGUCGGGUGCGCGGGGAGCCCCUUUU